GCCGCGUGUGUGAAGAAGGUCUUCGGAUUGUAAAGCACUUUCGACGGGGACGAUGAUGACGGUACCCGUAGAAGAAGCCCCGGCUAACUUCGUGCCAGCAGCCGCGGUAAUACGAAGGGGGCUAGCGUUGCUCGGAAUAACUGGGCGUAAAGGGCGCGUAGGCGGUUUGGACAGUCAGAUGUGAAAUUCCUGGGCUUAACCUGGGGGCUGCAUUUGAUACGUACAGACUAGAGUGUGAGAGAGGGUUGUGGAAUUCCCAGUGUAGAGGUGAAAUUCGUAGAUAUUGGGAAGAACACCGGUGGCGAAGGCGGCAACCUGGCUCAUGACUGACGCUGAGGCGCGAAAGCGUGGGGAGCAAACAGGAUUAGAUACCCUGGUAGUCCA
Molecule: ribosomal RNA, 384 nt
Filed under: Kozakia sp.
Lineage: Bacteria; Pseudomonadati; Pseudomonadota; Alphaproteobacteria; Acetobacterales; Acetobacteraceae
Description: bacterial SSU rRNA
Rfam family: Bacterial small subunit ribosomal RNA
Source: RNAcentral